GAUGAACGCUGGCGGCGUGCCUAAUACAUGCAAGUCGAGCGAACAGACGAUUAGCUUGCUCCUCUGACGUUAGCGGCUGACGUGUGAUUAACACUUGGUUAACCUACCUAUAAUUCUGGUAUAACUUCGGGAAACCGGAUCUAAUACCGGAUAAUAUAUUGAACCUCAUUGUUCAAUAUUUAAAUACGGUUUUUCUUUCUCUUAUAGAUGUUUCCGGGCCGCAUUAGCUAGUUGGUAAGGUAACGGCUUAACAAGGCAACGAUGCGUAGCAGACCUGAGAGGGGGAGAGGAAACAAUGGAAGAGAGAAACGGUACAGACGACUACGGGAGGAAGCAGUAGGGAAUAUUCGGAAAUGGGGGAAAGCAUGACGGAGAAAGGCAGAGUGAGAGAUGAAGGAAUUAGGAUCGUAAAACACUGUUAUGAGGGAAGAAAAAAAGUGUAAGUAAAUAUGAACGGAAUGACGGUACCAAAACAGAAAGCAACGGCUAACUACGUG
RNAcentral lists this ribosomal RNA (497 nucleotides) under uncultured bacterium. Its description in RNAcentral is "partial 16S ribosomal RNA". It matches the Rfam family "Bacterial small subunit ribosomal RNA", at positions 28 to 507 of the family's 1533-position model. The record is from RNAcentral.